ACAUUAUUUUAUUGAGCACAAUUCAGUUACAACAUGUUUAUGCAUACAGGAUUGAGUAGGAUUUGAAACUCUUGAAACUCUCUCCUUAAAUAUUUACGUUUAGCAUGUUAAAUCACUGUAACUUAUGAAGUGAUUGAUAAUAUAAAUUGCUUGCAGUUUAUUCAUCUACAUUUCUAUAUUAUAAUUUUUGUGUUUUUAUUUGAUAUACGGAAAGUAUUUUCGAAAGCCAUAAUAAAAUUCAAUAAUGCCUUUAAGGAGGUAGGUUACCUUGUUACCAGGGUAAAUUCAUAUUACGCGAACCGCAGCACUUUUUUGUAUUUCGUGUAAUAUAAUGUUUUAACUGCUACAAUCUCAAUUUAGUUUAUCUCUGUCCCUUCAGGUUAAAUUUUUAUCCAGGUUUGAAGAACAUAACCCUCCAAAGGUAUUUUAUAUUGAAAGAAGAAGGAAAAUACGGAUAUUUAACACUUUUUACUGUAUUUUAGUUUCAUUGAUAUCCGUAGAAGUCUGCAUAAUUGAUAAUUUUAUUAGUAUGCGCGUUAGCUUUCUAAUAUAAGCUUAAAAUGUAUAUGUCGCGGGGCUUGCGUUUCCAUGGUAACGCAUUUUCUCUCAUUUUUAAACAAUUAUGUAUAAAAACGGAUUUUUUAUGGCUUCAGUGCAAUUCUGUAAAUGAACAACAUGGAAUAUUUGGGUAAUAUAAUUAGCAAAAUACCAAGCACUUUACAUGGUACCCUAUUUUUCUUAAAGUUUAAAGUAACCAUGGCAAAGAGAUGUUUAAAAUAGCUUAUAUCUUGCUUUUUGUAGUAAUUUCUUAUAUAAGAUAUUGAAUAAAAUUAUCUUUCUUGUUUAUGCAGCUUUAAAACGUAUUAUUUCUAAAGUAAGUUAUAUUUUCGUGUUAUUUGCAUUUAUUCAAACAAAUUUCACAGCUUAAAAUACUUACAGCAGUACCCUUCGUCUGGCAUUUUUCAUGGAAAAAUCGUUCAGCAUUCUACUAUUAUUCUCAUGGAUUUUGUUAAAAUGAAAAAAAAAAAGAGCCGAAGCUAUGUUCCUUAAAUUCACCAGUGUCAACGCUUUUGAAUUUUACACUCAGCUAUAUAGGUCACGGGCUUCGUUUCCAUGGUAACGUCAAUUCAAUUCAAGAAACCACAAUUUUUUACUGAAAUUUGAACAAUUUUAGAUAUUAGUUUAGUAUAUAAGUAACAAAUUAUCAACAUAAACUGAAAAGUAGGUAUUACAAAUCAAACUGCUAGUUUUUUUUUUUAAAUAGCCGUAACAAGUAACCGUUCACUCAACUUUAUUCCAAAUAACAUUGGUUACCAUCAUCCAUUUUCUUUCAUUCUGCAUAACAUUUCAAUAUAACUACAUAAAAGAAGCAACAUAUUGAUUAUAAUUCAGAGCAAAAGACUCAUAAAGUAUUUCAGCAAAUAAUAGUUAUUUGAAAGUAGUUCAAAUAAAGAAAAUGCACAGAAUUACGUAGUUUCAGAAUAAAAGCUAUUAAAUUUUGCGCGGUAACUGACACGUAUCAUCAUGAGGUCAAUGACGUCAUUUUAAGGCAACAUUGUUUUGAAGCGUUCCUGUGGCAAUUUAUGCAUUAUUUCUGCAUUAUUAAACCAUAAAUCAUCGGAUCGGAGACAGGUUCAUGAUUUGUUUUCAGAAGAAUGGAUAUACAAACACAUUUACAUUGUCGUGAACAGCGUCGUAAAUCGUCACGUUAGCUUCCGGUUGGACAUGCGCACGUACAAAUAUUAAGGUAACCUACCUCCUUAAAUGAAACAGUUUAUACGAACUCCUUAUUCGUACCUUGAUAAAUAAGUUCCAUAUCUUUUGCCGACGAAGGUGUCCCUUUUAGAUUUUUGGUGACAACAAGUACAUGACGUGUUAUCAAAACAUGAUACACAUUGGCAAAUUAAAUUAUUAAACUAUUAUGUACAUAAAUAAAAACCGUGUAAGCCGCAUCAAAUCUAGGACAGCACAAAAAGGGAAAUAUCCAUUAUUUCCAUUGUGGUGUUUGUUAAUGAUGUCCAUAAAACAUGACAAGAAGACAGCCUGCAGGAUAUAGUUUCAUGAAAGACAUACACAUAGUAAAAUCUAGGAAAAACAAUAUACUAAAAUGCUAAUCUGCUAAAAAUAAUACUGCAGACAAAGUUAUAUGUACAGAUGCAAUUAGUACUUUGAAGAACAAAAUGACAUUCUAAUAUAUAUAAUACUGGCGUUUAAAUACUUACAUCACUGCAUACUUAUCUAUUUAGUUGUUUACUAUAAAGCAUGCCCAUAUAAAUGAUAUUUUGCCAAAAUUAAAAAAAAAUCAGUUGUGAAAGAAAAGAUAUUGAUAAAAAAGAUUUUUUCUAACUAAUUAUGCACCUGAGGAAGAAGUUGUCCCCAUUGUGUUGACAGAAUAAAAUGUACCUCCUACAUUAUGUUAGAAAUAUAAAGGAAACUAGUAGACAGUUGGCUAACUUGGAAAAGAGGCCUGGUUAACAAAUCCGUAGGCAUUUUUAGUACAAUAUGGUAUAAUACCUUAAAACGUUUGUUAUUCUUUCUUCUAUUCAACCAGAGUGGAUACCAGACUGAAAUAUCCAUUUUUAUUUUUUUGUCAGGCCCCAAAAGGGGACAAUUAGUUUUUUCUCAAUUUUAAGGGAAAUUAAAGAGAAUUUUCAUUUCUAUCAUUAUUUGAUGAAAUGUGUAUCUGUUUUAGAUUAAAUGUAUUGUAAUAUGAAUAAAUAUAUUUAUCACACUAAUUAUCUUAGAAUUUGAGGCCCAUAACAGGGUUUUUAAAAAAAUAUUUUGAAAUUUUUGAUAGGUAUCGCAUAAUUUAGAAGUAUAUUGUUUUUACUCUAUUUGUGAAAUCUCUACGAUAAUAAGGUUAAGUAUUUAAGGUUCAGGUGUGUAACAGGCAUUCUAAUACACAAAAUAAUAAAAAAGGCACCACUAUGGGGUCAUGUUAUUGCAAAUGUUAAAGUUUGUUGAAAAAAAAAUUGGUAAAUCGCCUUCUUCUUUCAUAUGUUGUAAACCAUAAAAUUUACCAGAAUAUUUUCUUUACAGCAAUUAAAUAUUUGUUCUAAGGUAGUUUUUUUGUACAUCCCCCUCCCCCAAAAGAAAUAAAAAAUAAAAAAUUGAGGCUCCAAAGGGGUUUAAAUUACUCACAUUUCAUGACAAUUUAGAUAAAUAAGUAGUAAUUAGUUAACAGAAAAUCAUUGCUGAAAUAUAUUUAGCAUAUGACGAUUUAUGAUUCACCAUUUUAUAUGUGGUAUUCACAUCUCUUUAAUAGGAUGUAAGUGGAACUUUAACUAAUAUGCCAUAGUAUAAAUAUAGCUCAAAGACCAGAUUAUUCUUAAAUGUGUGCCCUCUUGAUAUACUAGUUGCAAGCCUACAAUUAUAUUCAUUGGCAAUGUCACCUAUACAUGUUUCUUUAUUCAUCUGAUCUCUUGUAACAUUGGAAUAUACCUUAAACAACAAUCAGAUCACUUGAUUCAGCUAGCCAGAGAGACAAAUCAAAGACAUUUUUAACCAAUUUGGUAUCAGCGGAGGAGUUUUCAAGUAUUUAGGUUUCCGCUGCUCAAUCUGGAGGUCAGCAUUUCAUGUACCACAUGACACCAGUACUGGUGUGUGUCCACUUCAGUAAAUGUCACAAUGACAUUGCACAGCUGAUAGUUACAUUUUAUUAUUGUAAGUAUUUCAUUACUUGAAAAGGAUAACUAGUGUUCAUGUGAACAUGUAACACCUAUUUUCCCAACCAGCUACGUUUUUGGUAGGUGGUGUUUAUGAAGUAGCCACAAAAGGGCUAGAAAUAAUGUAAUCAUUAGUAUUUUGUGUAAUUUUGUGCCUUGCAGAUUAUAGAUAUCGGCUCUUCUUGGUCCUCAUAUACUCGCCUCUAUUCAUGCUAUAGGAACAAGAGUGUCCAGGACCUGUGAAAUCUGUUUGUUUACAAUUUUGAUAACAGAUUAAGUAUGCAUGUUUUGUUGUUCGUUAUUAACGAUAGUUAUACUUGUAAGGGUUCCUAAGUGUAAGCGUUUUUAUGUACAAAUGACUGCAUGAAACGCCACAUCAUUUUCCUGGCACCUUAGUGAUGGUCAGGUCUAGAUUCCAACCUGAGGGCCCUCCAUGUAGUUUCAGCUCAACAUUAAAAAAUUGUUAAUGAUCAUUUUUUCAGUUCUAGGCUUAUUAUGAUCUAGAAGCUUAUUUUGCUCAGGUUGAAAGAACUGAGUACAUGUCUUAAUAGUUGUUAGGCUUACUUUGUAUCUAAAUUUACAGAAACAUUUCGUGCCAUUGCGUCUUUUAUUUACACUGUUGCGCAACUCUGAAAAGUUGAAAGGAUUAGAAGAAAGGUUUACUUCACUUUUUACCGGUUUAAUUUCCAAGUUGUGUUUCUGCAACUGACAGUUCCUAAUCUGUGCUCCACUUUGUUCCUUUGUGUGUCCGUAUCUUUCUCGUUGUCUAUAUAAUAUAUUUUGUUCAUGUAUAUUAAAAGUUAAUCAUGUACACAUCCAUGCAAUCACUGAUAUGGGGAUUUUGUUUGAGGGGGGAGGUUCUUUCUUCGAACGUAAUUUUUCUUAAUGAUUAUUUGUUCAUGCGAUAUUUUUGUCUAGCCUUGUGCUUUGAAAAUACUCUCAAAAAGAAAAAUGCAACAUCUAUUCUUUAGGACAGUCUAAGCAUGACGUGUGUUUCCAGAUUUUAUUUACUUCACAACAGUGGGCAGUGUUGCAUUUUCCAUUACUGCUCAUGAACAGACUCAAUAAAACCGAGUCUGCAAUUUUCACUGUUUGCCUUGUUUUCGGUGCUUCCGAGGGAUCUACUUUCCAGAUUUUAUUUACUUCACAACAGCGGGUGUUAAGUGCUGUGUGGCGGCCGAUAAAAGUCGCCCCGACUUCAUCUCAGUGUUGUUAUAUUUUCUGGUCCUUCGGGAUCAUUGAUUUCAAUUUAUUUAGAUUUGAAGAUUGAAUACUGCUUAAGCCGGAGCUAGGGGGCGUGGGCAGUGUUGCAUUUUCCAUUAGUGCUCAUGAACAGACUCAAUAAAACCGAGUCUGCAAUUUUCACUGAUUGCCUUGUUUUCGGUGCUUCCGAGGGAUCUACUUUCCAGAUUUUAUUUACAUGAACAUAUGGCGCCUGUGUUGUAAUUCAUUUCACUACCACCUUAGAAACUCAUAUUAAUUACAUAUUUCGAUAUACAGAAAUUCAAUCAUCAGUAAGGAAUGGCAUACCAAAUAUCCUUAAAAGUCUUGAUACUCUUAAAGGAUUAAUAAAUUGACCAAGAGUUUAAGUUUGAUAAGUUUAAAGUUUUUACCUUGCAAAACACUUUUGGGUGAUGUAGACGCGAUUACAAACAUUUACGUGUAGUGUAAUGUCACAAAAGAUUUUCUAUAUUGUAGUAGUAUUAUUACAUCUGGUGACUCCACCAUUUCAAAACAACUGAAUGUCAAUUGGUCUUAUGGCAUACAACUGCUUCAACAAAAUAUUUUUGAAAAAUGCCUGUUCUGGCCAUGGAUAAAGUCCGAUAACGAUUUUAAUAACAACACCUGCCCAAAAACCUUGCGCUCGACUAUUCAACAACUUCUAAGUUUCACAAGGACCAUGACUGGGCAAGACUUACAAAACCACAUGUCACCAAAGGUGACACCAACACCAGUGUUAACAGAAUAGCUCUCACUAUUCUUCAGAUGCAAUGGAAUUUUGAAAAGUCUGGCAAUUUAUGUGUGUUUAUCAAUGUACCUCAAAUAUUUACACACAAUGUUUUGCAAAAACAAUGAAAUAUUUGCCAGAAUAUGGUAUUGUGUGUUUACUUUUUUGAGUGUAUAUAUCGGUUCAGUAUUCCAUAAUUGGGCAAUUUGACUGUAUGUGUCUCAAAAGCUAGUACCAAUAAACCGAUAUUUUACGCACUCUUAUUGUAGUAAUCAUUAAAUGAAAAUAAGGAAAUGAAAUGCAGCGAAGUAACAUGUAUAUGUAAUAUAUUGGCUCUACAAUUUCUUGAAAUUCUCAGAGUUACUUAUUCUAUAUGUAUCAAAGUGUUUUGCGAAAGUCUCGGGUUUAGUGUUCUCAGAGGUCAAUAGAAAGUGAUGCUGCAAUAAUAAAAACCAAUAAAAUUACUUUACACAAUAAGUUUCCGUACAGUUAAUGUUUUAAGACUGCGUGAGUAUAUCCACACACUUAACUGAAUGUUACGUUGAUAGCAAAAAUGAUAUGCAGCAUGUACGGUUAAAAUUGUUCAUUUUGCGUGUAACUCCUUUUGGGGCCUCUUGAACUAUAUAUGAAAUUUCAAAAAAAUGUAAUAUGUCUUAGUUUUUUAUAUGCACUGGAUACUAUAGAGGAUAAACAUUCAUUUCUUAAUUACAUGUUAAUACCAAUGUACCGCUAAUUUUAACAUAUUGGAUACGUCACAUCAUCAUGUAAAUGCCGUCUGACGGAGAACCCCCAAUUUAGGGCCUCUUAGUCUUUAACUUCACUUGAAAAUUACAUUUAUACGUCAAAUUAUAUUAUAUAAUUGACUCUUUCCACUCUAUUAUAUAUUUAAGUCAGAUUUACCUUAACCUGUAAUUUAAACAAAAUUUUACUUUCAAUUAUUAUUUCUUAUCACGUGCACCCCUUUUGGGGCCUCACAAAAAGUUGAAUAGGAAUAUUUGAGCUUGGUGUCCUACCUGGCUGAAUUCCAUAUAUCCCAACGAACAUUUUGAUGUAUGAUACCAUAUUGUACUUAAAAUGCCUACGGAUUUUUUUCUCGGGGCUUUCGCCAACUGUCUAUAGAUGGUAAAGCGAGUCCACGUGUUGAAUAACAGGUCUCAGUACAAUGAUUGUACGACUUUUGAUCAAGAAUCAUCAAUGUUCUUCCUCGCAGGAUUAUAUGUUAUAUCUAUUGACCAAAAUACAUCACGUUAUUUCACACCAGUUGAGUUUAGAUCGGGCUGCUAUGUUUAGUAGGGCGUACUUUAAGCAUAAACAUGAAUAUAUUAGAUGCUUUAAUGAAGACCAAACAGCUUUAAUCAGCAUCAGUCCAUUUCGUAACUGUAUGAUUAAAAUAAUGUGCCAUUUUUCAUUAUAUCAUAUCUCGUGAAACUCGCUUUUGAGAGUUUUUCGACGUAUCCUACAGACUACACGAUUGUCAUAGAACACGUUUUCUUACAUUUUAAGCAUCUUUUAAAGCACUUUUUACUAUCAAUGCUUUGAAUACUACAAGAUUGGAAAAAAAAAGAAACUGACACCGGGAGUACAUUCUCGCACAAGCUUUUUAAUGCGCAACCCAUGGGUACUAAACGUGAUACACGUAAACUAUGGAACAUUAUUGAGGCAUUGCAUCUUGGUGUGAUACAUAUCGAUGUUACAUGCCACAUUCAUUACAUUGUAAUUUAAGUAUUACAGCUAUCAUAUCAACACACUAGAUGUCACUCACGUUCUUGUGUGGGAAAUGUCCGUGAAACCAACGACGUCAGUCGGUUUCUAUUUGUCCAUUAACAGGAUGCAUCGCCUAUUAUCCUUAUUUAGGCGUCCGGUAAUCAGCUUAACAAAGGCUUGUAUAUCAGUAACGCGUAUGUAUGCUAUUUGAUCGCGUACAGCCGUGAGCUCGAAGAUGAACCACUCAUUUGAAAAAAUAAGUAAAACAUUUCAAUACACAUUUGCUACUGAUUGCUGCCACUUGAGAUGACUACAGGCAAUCUCCAAUCAGUGCUAAAGUAACCUUCGGUCAGAUAAGACGUAACUCAAGUGCAUUAUGGAUUGGUGUUUAUUAACAGUACAGACUUUGAGUUAUAAAAAUUUAAGAAUGAUUGAAUAAUGUACAUAAGUUAAAGGGUAAGGGCAGAUUUCCAGGAAGCAUCCAUUCCAAACACAACCAUAGAGCCAUGCAUCGCAAAGUAGGUCAUAUAAACAUUAACACUAUAAGGGGGAUUUAGAACCAGAGGAGUGCAUUUCUCUUUAGACAAGAAACACGCCUUAAAAUUUCAGUUCUGGAAAUUUACUUUGAAAACUGGAAUAGAUUAACUUCAAACUCAAGACUUUUAGAUAUAGUCACAGUUAGUUUUACCUCCGACCAGAUUCUAGCUCUUUCAUUUGUUGAGUAGUGUCACGUGGUUGCCAUAUAUAUUUCUAUAGAGGGUCAGUGGAUGACUUUAUAAAGCUUGGCGGACUACCUUUUGUAAUUUUUCUUAUCUGGUUUUGGAGAAUAACUGCAGAGAGACAUAUUUAUGCAAUUAUUUUUUUUUAUAAACGCGCUUUUAUUAGGUACGUGAGACCAUGGUACAAAUGUAUAGUGUAUGCAUACCGUAUUUGCAUUACUACAAAAUAGUUUUUAUAACGGAAACGCUCGGAGAAACGGAAAGUGACCCAUGUCAGCGUUUGUUCAGGAUUUAAGCUUUCUGCACUUCAGUCUAGAAAUAUAGUGCAUCUGGAAUGGAGUGUUAUUGAAUAAAACCAUCGAGGAAACGGGUUGCCUAUUUGUUCUGUCAAGCAGCGUUAUGGCGUGUGUAUAAGUCACGUCUAGCGUUUGCUUGAUGAGGAUGGGUAAUCCGGCAUGCAACUGACAUGACUGAACUUCGGACAAAAUUUCACUUGGUAACAAAUUAUAAUCAUUCAUUAAUGUUCAGCAGAACUAAAGGCAGUGUGUUUUUGUUUACAACCUUUUGUAAAAAUAAACAUUCAGUACACAUAAGAAUUAGGUCAGACAAUACUGUAACAGUAAUCUGAAUCAGUAUGCGGGGUUCUACUAAGCAAAUUCUUAAUGAAAUAACCACAGUGACAGCACUUUGGUUUUUCGCUAUUCAAAUCAAACAACUAUGGUUAUCAGCAGAGCAUAUUUCAGGCAAAUAUGGUUAUGAACAGAGCAUAUUUCAGGCAAAAGUAAUGUCAUUGAAGAUUCUGAAUCUCGAUAUUCAAACUUGACACAGACUGUAUGUAGAGCAUAUUUGUUUCACAUAAUUGUGGACUUGUAUGGUAUUUCAGACUUAGAUUUAUUUGCUUCACGUUUAAAUAAUCAAAUGAAAUCGUUUUAAUCAUGGAUACCAGAAUAUAUGUUCUCUUAUUGCAUCCAAUUAAAGCUGGAAAGGAAAGCUUAAUUAUUUGUUUCCUCCUUUCAGCUUGAUAGGUAUGCAUUACGGAAAAUAGAGCAAGACCAAAUGGAAGCAAUAUUGACAGUAACAAGAGACUUUUCCUAAUUAUAUAAGUAUAUCCAAUUCUAAAGGAACGGCAUUUAACAGUUUUCAGAAAAUCAGAGAAACACUCCAAUGUAAUGGAUUAUCAGAUGAUGUUGUCAAUAUCAUUUUGCAGUCAUGGAAAGAUAAGAAUGCAAUACGGGAGAAAGUUUGAUAAAAUUGACGUGUUUUUCCAGUGCACAAUAAUGCAUUACGGGAGUAACUUCGAAAUAUGGAUAUGUUUUUCCAAUGAAUAAUUACUAGAUACCUAUUCCAAAAAUAAAUAAUAUUCUGGAAUUUCUAGCAUCAUUUUGAGUUAUAGUUCCAUUAACACAGCUAGAUCAGCCUUAAGUUCUUUCUUUGGUACAUGUGAACUUGAAUAAUCAGUGGCCAAGCAUUUUAAUAAUGAGGGGAGUAUUUUAUUAAGACCGGCACUCCAAAGAUAUAAUGUUACCGGGGAUGUUAAUAAGGUGUUAUGGUGUAUAGAACAAAUCCAGUUAGAUAGUGACUUCAAACAUUUAAUCGUUAAAACUGUAAUGCUGGUAUGUCUUCUUUCUGGACAAAGAAUACAAUCUAUGCAUUUAAUUGGUCUUAGAUGUAUGGACUUUAUUAGUGUGAACUUAGUUUAGAUUAGGUUUGGAGAUUUACUCAAACAUUCAGGGCCCGGUAAGCACUUAGAUGAGAUGGUUUUAAACGAUAUUCAAAUAAAUCUUUGUGCAUAGUUACGAGUUACGGUUUGAAAUAUUAUUAAUAAAGAACAGGAAUCUUGCAAGAAAAUGAAAACUGUCUGUUUAUGUGUAGGUUACUAACCGAGUAGGAGGUGUUCAUGAAUUGAAAAUACCCGCGCUUCUGCGAAUCGUGACACCGAUAGCGAGUAGCUUUUUUGUAAGCCGAUUAUUCGUUGGGAGUUUUUUCUUUGUUUGAUUUUACAGAAAAAACAAACAAACAAACAAACAAAGCAUCAGUAUUGUCUAUGCUUCUACUCUCCCUAACUUCAAUAUUUCACAUUCUGAAGUUCACAUUCACAUGAAGUUUUUGAACUGAAUGAAAAGUCCUCAAUUUUUUUUCAUUGUUUUUUUUUAUCUUUGUAAUCUUUAGUUGCGUGUUUAUAAAACAUGUUUCAUGAUAAACUUAGUUUCGGGCUCUGCAUUUACGAUUUCGUCGUCAUCAUCAUCAUCAUCAUCAUCAUCAUCAUAUAACAAUAAUAUUUAUAAUUAUUAUCUGCUUCUUCUUCUGCUCCUCCUUUUUUAGUGCUGAGACAUGAAUGUAUCUCAAGAAUAUUGUAGAUGAAAAUAUUACGAUGGUAAUUCAAAGGUCAAAAUUUACAGUUUUUGAAAAUCAUAAGUAUACAUUUAUAAAUGCUACUUGAAGAAGGUUUUAUCUAUUGUCCGUAAGUAUUGACCUGGCAUUCAUUAAUCUUCGUCAAUAUUUCGUUGUUGUUGUUUUUUUUUUUGCUAUUUUACGAAAUAUUUUAUCCUAAAUAACCAAUAUAAAUAACCAAUGGGACGGUGGCGUAGUGGUUGCUGUUUGACUGCUACGCACGUUACCAUGAGUUCAAAAUCACCUCAGACUAAUUUUCUAUUUCAGUGUUAUGUUGUUAUCGAUGUUACUUUAAUUCUUACAAUAAUUAUCUAUGUAACAUAUUUCACAAAUUCUGACUGUUUUCUCUUGUAUUUUUUGUUUUCUGGAAACGCUGGUGACAAGUACUUUGUCUUUUAUCUAAUAUACUUUCAGAGAUGUUUUAUUCAACAUUUCCAACAUUUCUCAUAACGGUUAUAUCUCCAGAAAUAAACCAAAAGUACGCAGAUGAAAUUGGGGAAGGUGGAGGGGGUGGGGUGGGAAUGGUCCUACGCAGGAGUUUAUUUAAAUAUACCGAUUGGAAGCUAAACGUUUUAACCGUAUGUGACAUUGUGAAAAUUAUAAAGAAAUAUAUACAUAGUAUUUAUAUCGCUAUUUAGCUUCAGAUACCUAUAAUUAAUUUACGGAAAAUAUACAAAAUAUUCAGGAGUACCAGAUCAAUUCAUCUAACAUUCUUUUCAUGUGCUCAGGUAUGGUAUGAUACCUGUGCAUGUGCGCAGGUAUUCUAUGUAGGUAUUCAUUUUGGUUACUAACCCGCAGAGAACAAUAGAACAGUUGUGUCAUAGUUUUUUCAAACCUUUUAAAACGUUACCAAAGACAAAAUAUGUAGAUGGAUUAAGGGUAUAAUGCAAAAGGCAGACAUUGACACAUCAAUUUCAUACUUCAUAGCAUUCGCUCUGCUUUAGUUUCUCAGGCUAGUAAAUGCAGGUUGCCAAUACUAGAGACAGUUAUAAGGACAGGUGGCUGGAGAAGAGAAUCCACAUUCUAUUACCACUGACACCUCAUUUGCUGAGACCAUUUUACAUAAAAACAGCUGUUAAUUAUUGCAAAGUUAUAGAUAUCGGAAGUAAUUGUAAACAAAUAAAUUGGAUAGUAUCGUCUUGACAUUUUUAUGUAGGGAUAGUUUGUGAAAUUUUAAGUUACUUUUAUGUUUACUGUAUGCAUGAAAAUAAAUUUAGUGACAGGGGAUCAAUUAACUUACGUAUUCAAUGAUGUAUCUUUAAUGUAGCACUUGUUGUGGCUGGAUGAGCUCUAAAGGUUUAAGUGGCACAUAUCAGUAGCAUAUGUGCAUUGAAAUGGUAUUGUACAAUUAUACGAACGUUUUGAAGUAUGAUUUUAAUUCCAUGAAAUCAAAAUAUGCUACUGUGGGUGUCACUUGCCCGACCAAUCUCUUCCUAUAUGCAAUAUGAAACUUACAUUCAACUACAAGCUUUGAAAAUUGGAGAUUGCCUUUAGUCAUCUCAACUGACACUGACACAAGAGCAUCAUUUACAGAAUCGGCAAGGAAACCAGAAAUAAAGCAAUGUGGAAAGAAAAAAAUGUGGACUGUGUAAAUUUCUGAUAGAAGGAAAUAAAUACCACUUCAAAAAUGGCCGACAAUUCCAUAUAAAAUUUUCCGGUACGUGUGAAAUACAAAAUGUCAUAUAUGCAAUAAAAUGUUCUGGAUGUUCAAAAGACUAUAUUGGAGAGACGUCCAGAAUUUCCAUUACUUUUUUUUCGAAAAUGUUCAAACCUUCAACAUGUUUAGUUGUAACUGCACCAACCUUGCCCCCCAGCCAUGUUCAAGAUUUCUUACUUGAUUGUGUUCUCUUAAGGACAUUUGUUCUUUUAAGUUCAGAUGUACAUGUUAAGACCAAUUCUCUGUAAGAACCAAAAAAAGUUGGAAACUCAUAGUCACAGAUUUCCUUUAAACCGAUUUUUUCUUGAAGAGGGUGCAAAAUUAAGAAAAUCCUGAUUUUCAUUUUUUCAAUAUAUGUCCCGGUUUCCAUGGAAACGAGGAUGCAGAUCCCCAACUUGCUGAAUUUUCAAAAGAGUAGGGGUGCUUGCCUAUUUUGUUAUCUGGAAAGUACUAGAAAGUGUCCUUUAUUUUCGCACUUGCAAAUUUUAAAGGCAAAUGAACAAGGUUUCAUACCAAACUAAUAUUUCCAAAUAUUUAUUUGAUUCUUGUAUGAUCUAGACUUUUAUCUGCAAGAAAAAAUAUAUUUAUGGAGCAAAACAUAUGCUUAUAUUGUGCUCUACGUCUUGAAAAGUGCACAGGUCUCAGCAGAAAAGUAUAUUUGUUUGUAUAAAGGGAAGAUGAUAUUUCAAAAAGAAACAUAAAUCGUAGUGGGUCAUUCAGACACAUUCUUGUAGAUUUGGGCCAAAGUUUAUGAUUUGGGGCAUUUUUCCUAUUUUUAUUACCUCCCCUUGAUGAUCUUCAUUUAGGAAAUCACAAAGAGCUUAUCUAAGUUUACUUCCUGGAUUAUGCUGAAUUCAGAUUUCUACUCGGAUUUUGCAAAUUUUUAGUAUGUAGAUACAAUGACAGUCAGAGAUUUUAUGCUAAAUGGGCAUGUGAUGCUGGGAUGUGUCCCUUCAAACCAAGUCCACGUUUAAAAUUUGCUGAAUAGCGACAUUGUUUGGGAAAAAUACUCUGGCAGAAGAGUCUAAACUGUUUAUUUCCAUAAGUGAAGUUUGUAUCAACUGACUGAAGGAUCAGUGUUAAAGGAUAACACUACACUGAAAACAGCUGUGAGUUGUUUCUUUUGAAAAUGACUGCUUGAUGAUAAAGUUUCAAACAACUAUGAAACUAAUUCUUCAAAGAAUGAAUGCUCAUCACCAUCCUUAUAUUGGAAUAAAAGGAAGGAAGUGACAGCUACAGUCAUGGUAAAAGUAAAUGCAGUCAAAAGACCUCUGAUAUCACCUGAAGAGCCAGCCUUCUCAAGAUUCUGUAUCAAAUAAAAAUAACAAGGACUGCUAAAAAGACUUUUUAUAACUUGCAAAUGUGCAGUCUGUGACAUAACUGUCUGAUCCAGGUAGUUUAGUGUUGACAAGAUGACAUUUCAUCUCUAUAGUAGAGGACACAAUUUUGAAAUGCAGUAUGUCAUUGUGAAGGCAAAAUAUUUAUGAAUAGUGUGUGUGUGUUUUCCAAAUAGAGAGGCUGAAAGUGGGGAAUCAUCAAUUAGUGUUUUUGGAAUAAGUUAUGGACAUCUGAAUAGUGAUGAUCUGUCCCUUUUUUGGAUUGCCACAGACCAAAAUAAUGAUUGGUGCCUUUGACAUAAAUAGAAGAACUCACACUGGACACCUGAAGAUGGA
Mercenaria mercenaria is the source of this 13757-nucleotide long non-coding RNA. RefSeq lists it as uncharacterized. The transcript has 4 exons. NCBI's taxonomy places the organism in Eukaryota, Metazoa, Mollusca, Bivalvia, Venerida, Veneridae. The record is from RefSeq and is a predicted model, not a curated record.